GCAGGAACCAACAUCCGAAACACACUCUCUCCAGGCCAUCCAGGCCACUUUUUUUCAGUGCUUCCAACUGCCAAAUUCACCUCAUUUUCUUGUUUUUCUUGAAGCUGUGAGUCCUCAGGUACUAUAUCCUCUGGUACUUGAUCCUCAGGUACAUGAUCCUCAGGGACUUGAUCCUCAGGUACAUGAUCCUCAGGGACUUGAUCCUCAGUUAGUUGAUCCUCAGUUACUUGUUCCUUGGUUACUUGACUCUCGGGUACUUGCUCCUGGGGAACUUGCUCCUGAGGUACUUCGGGUACUUCAUAUUCAGGCACUUCAUACCCAGGAACUUGAUUUUCAACUUCUUGAUUCUCAGGUAUUUGCUCCAAGUCAUGGUUCCCGUCAUGUUCAACAAAUCCCUGAUCAGCUUCAGCCAUAAUUUCCCCACUGUAACAAAACAUAGAUUCAAAAAUUAUUUCAAAAAGAAAAUGCAUUAACAAUUAGUAUAUUUGAACUCCGGCCAUCAAAUAUUCUUAGUCACCGGAAGCAACAAUACAUAUGCCCAACAAACAGAACUCAGGAUUCCAACUGGACAAUAUUCACUUCUCCUAACCUUCACUAACUUAAGAAAAUAAACUACGCAUAGCAUCGCAGAAAAAUAGAAUCUACAAACAAUUCAAAAAGUAAUAAUCCCAAAAAAAAUUAACAGAAAAGAAAACAACAGAGCACCGCACUAACCUGGAAUUAACAUGUUUGAGCUGGAGUACCUUAGGGUUUGAAAUAGUAACACAAUAAACCAGCACAUAAGCAUAUAAACCCUAAAACUACAAAGACAUUAUGACUAUAAAAUAAUUUAAAAAAUCACAAAAUAGCAAGAACCCAUUAAUGGGUCAAACAUAAAAACACCCCAAUCACUUAAAAAGAUAUUCAAUUUAAAACUACACACAAUAAUUACCGGACCCACAUGUAAUAAACCCUAAAAUAAAACUAUAGAAGAACACUUACAUGAGUUAGCGAGGAGCUAAUACUUGUACGAUAAAAUCUGUUGGCCUCAGAGAUUCUGGAAGUGAUCUUCUGAGGAACAAGUAAUCGGUUUAUUUAUUAUUAUUAUUAUUAUUUUCUCUUUUGGUUUUUGGAGGGUUUUUAGGUUUUUGAGCGAGAGAUGAGAAGAGCGGAGGGGAAGUGAAAUAUAUUUGCGUCGUGUGUGAUGAUAUGAGUUGAGGCGAUUUGGAUUUGAUUUUGUGGUCCUGUGAAGUAAUCUUAUUUACAAGUUGACCCCUAUUUAAUGCUUAAUUACUACAAUGCCCUUUUAAUUGGGUGGGCUUAACUUGGUUGUGUGGUCCAAGUAAUGUGGGCUCCCUGUGACCACGAGUUAGGGAUGGGGCUUUGAUGGGUUUUUGGCAUCUAACAACCCCAAUUACCUUUUUUUUUUCCCCCCAAAUUAGGAUCCAGCUACGGUACAACCGUGAUACCGUAUCACGGUUUUUGUCUAUAUCCGGAUAAGCCGUUGGAUUAAAUGUGAGUCCAUCUAACGGUUGAAAAUAGAAAUCGAAUAAGUGAGGUAACGACCGACAACUGUUGAAGGCGGUAAACUUACAUUGGAUAACAACGGUUGUAUUUUAGAAUUUCGAAAACAAAUUAGGGUUCAAUUGAUUUGUGUUGAUGUGGAAAUCAAUCGAAGGAGAUAGGUACUUGUUGGGGAGAAAACAUUUGAUGAAUCGUAUAUGAACAUGGGUUGUGAAACAUUGUAAUCCAAUCGUUCAUUUGUUUUUUAAUCGAUCGCCUGUUGAGUUUAUACCUAGUGUGCAGAGAACGAAAUUGAAAGGUGAAAAUCGCAAUUUUAGUUGCAAAGGGAGGAGGGGAAGUCCUGGAUGAAUGUCACAGUUGCGAAAUGGUGCCUGAGCGUUGCGAAAUCGAGGGUCAAUUUGUGAUGGUAGCAGGAGCUGCGACGCAUAGGGAGCGGUAGUGAAAGCUUACGAAACAGGCAUAUCUGUAGACAUAGUUAAUAUAAAUUUAUUGUUGUGCCAUUCAAAGCAGACGUAGCAGGUAAUUGGUGUAAAUAAACUUGUAAUUUGUUGUGAAAGAGUUGAUAAUGGAAAUUGGCUUCCGGGAGCAAAAAGGUUUGCAGCAAAUGAUUGAGUGAAUGUGAGAUUCGUAAUAACAAAUUAAUGUUUAAUUUGAUUACAGCAAUGGAGGCAGAGGGGGAUCGCAAGCGGAAAGGUUGCGAUGGAAACAAUUGCAAUGGAGGUACAGAAGGCAAUCCACUAAUUGCUUGUAAUAGUAAUUAUGGAUUCAUAAGCUAUUUGUAAGUAUUUAUGCUGCAUGAAAAAAUAAUGUUUGGAAUAUGAGGAUGCUGAUUAGUAUUAAAAAUUAUUUAAUUAUCAAGCGAUAAUAUGUUAUUUUAUGCUUAUAUUAUAAUUUAUAUUUGUGUUUAUGUAAUAUGAAUUAUUAAUUAUGUUAUAAAUAUAUUUAAUUUUGUGUAUUUUUAUGUGUUUAUUAGGAAAAAUAUUAAUUUCACGUACUUUGAGGCUCCAAACAGAUAAACGGAGGUCAAAUUUGGAUUCUGGAGGUCUGAAAACCUUAAGAUCAGUCAAGAUCGGCUUAAAAUCGGGCUUGUGUAAAAAAUAUUGACUUUUCCUGUUGACCGAGCACUGAUUGGAUGAUGAAAUGAGCUUACAAUAGAUAUGAGUGCAUGGGAUAACUGGCAAUCUUGACUAAAUCUCAACCGUUCAUGAUUCAAUGGCCAUGAUUGUGCCACGUGGCAAUGGUUGGUGAAGCAAGUUGGAGGAUCCGAAUCUUUGUAUUCGGGUCGACCCGAUCCACCCAUUAACCCGCCAAAUCUCAACAGUUCUUUGGGCAAAUCGGACGAGUCAAAUGAUGCCAUGUGUGAUGUUGACUUUUGAAGUUUGACCAGCCAUUGGAUCUUGAUCUAAGGGUUGUGAGGAGCACAUGCAUGAAGCCUAUGAUGGACCGCAAAGCACUGGAUUAUGAAUUUAUUUUUGUAUAAAUAGAGCCUCAUUUUUAUGUUUUAAUCAUAUCUCUACAACUCUCUUCUUCUCAAAUUCUCUCCAUCUCCUUGUAAUCUUGAUUUCCAGGUGUGUUUUUAAUAUUUUGUAUAAUUAUUUUCAUUAAUAAAAUUAGUUUUAUUUCCAAUUUUAGUUGUUUUUAUUUCUUUUAAUUAUAAGUAAUUCAAUUUUACUACUUCUUUUUAUUUUAAUUAUGCUUCACUAAAUAAUAUUAGUUAGGGGAAGGUGAAACUCUUAGGAAAUAAAUAUGAUUUAAUCAAAUUCUAUUUUUAAUUUUAUAAAUUAAAUUAUUUUCUAUCUAAUUUUAUACAUGUUUUAUAUUUUGAAAUUUUGAUUUAUUGUAGACAAACAAAUGAAUUUGGCACAAUAAAUUCUUAAGAUCUUAAUAUAAGGCAUGGUGAAAUGGUAUUUUGACUUAUUGUAGACAAACUAAAUUUUGGCACAAUAAAUACUUAAUCCAUCAUAAAAUUAAAGGGAAAAUAAUAAUAAUUUGUAUAAUUAAUCUUUUGGGUAAUAAAUCUAAAAAAUUGGCAAAAAGAAUUUAUUAAGUUUUAUUUAUUUCUAAGAGUGGAUCCAUAACCCUAGCUAGUUCAAUUCUAUAGUUUCAUUUAAAUUAAGUUGUUUAUAUUCAAGUUUUAAUUUCAAUUUAUAGAUAAAAUAAAAUAAACUAAUUAAAUCUUUUCUCUGUGGAUCGACCUCGGACUCACCGAGUUAUAAUACAACAAGACACUCUUAUACUUGGGAGUUAAAAAAAAUUACUUUUAAGUUGUGUCAGAUGCAAUUAAAGUAAUAUGAAAUGACUUGAGUUAUUUUCAGUGGUGAAACCGUCCGACAAAUGAAGGAAAAAAAUGCAAGUGCGCGCAUUUCAAAAGAGGUGUGUGAAAUUUUAAUAAGAUAUUGUAAAUGGUAGUAAGAGAGAUGCGAGAAUAAGGUUUAUGUCGUUGUGUUACAAUGAACUGCCUUGUAGGUUCGAAGGGAGAUAGCGACAACAUUUAAAAGUUUGCCUCCGGAGAGAAAAUGGAAGUACAAAGUUCAAGUCGAACGACCAAGAAAAGGGGAAGCGAGGAACAAUUUCUUCACACGAUGUGCCCCAGAUAGAUUAGCUGCAGCUGUUUCGAAUUUGUCUGACGAACAAAGAGCAGCAGUUUAUGAAAUGGGUUUGGGGAGUCUGCUGAACUUGAACAGUGGUAGGCUGAAAAGGAAGCUAUGCGGAUAGUUAGUAGAGAGGAUUGAUAUAGCUAGGUGUGUUCUAGUUUUGAAUGGCAUCGAUGUAGAGCUUAGCGCUAAUAGUUUUAGGCAGAUAAUGGGAUUAAAGGAUGGGGGGAUGCCUAUUGUAUUAGAGGGUGAGAAUAUAGAAGUGGAAUCAUAUUUAAAAUUGUUACGUGGAUCAUCCAGAGGAAUUAACGUCAAGGACUUGGAGGAAAUAUUGAGUAAUUUAACGGCAGCCGACGAUAGAUUCAAAGUGAUUUUUAUGUUGUUUGCUCUGUGUACAGUCUUAUGUCCCCCUAGUGGAGUACAUAUAAGUUCUAGUUUCUUGUUUUCGUUAAAGGACGCGAAGAGCAUACAAAAGAGGAAUUGGGCCACAUUUUGUUUUCAUAGAUUUAUUCAAGGCAUUACUAGGUACAAAGAAGAGAAUUUGGCAUACAUAGGAGGAUGUCUUCUAUAUUUGGAGGUAAUAUUGCAGCCUGGAAUGAUUGACUGUUAAAAUUUACCGCAGGUAAAAACAAUAUUCGUUGUAUUAAGAGAAUAUAUGUAAAUGACCAAAAAUAACCGACAUGUUCACGUCAUGUAAUUGGAAAAUUGUAGUUGUUGUUGUUUCAUUGAUAAGAAUCUUUGGUAACAAUGUCAAAGAAUAACUGCAUGAUGAGUGGCACUGUUAAUGUAGCUGUUCAGCAAAGGACAUAUUGGGUGGAGAAACAUUAUUGAAUAAUCCGAAGAAUUUAUGCGUGCUUGGUUAACUUUGGAAUUGAAAAUAUGUUUCAAAAACUGUAUGCUUAAAUAAACGAGUUUGUGGUUGAAAUGUGUAUUGGCAAUAAUGUGUUUUCCUUUUUUCAGAUGUUGUACUUCAAUUCAAUAUUGUAUGCAAAAGUAAGGAGGGAUAGGUCGAUGUGUCCGCUGGCUGUGUGGAACACAGACGAGAUAAAACGGUUAAUGAAAUGGAUAGAGCAUAAAAGAGGUUAUGGCAACACUGAGGUAAAUUAUUACAAAAGUUGAUGGAUGAUACGUAAUAAGUGCGAAUAAGUUAAUGGAAAAUUACUUUAUUUAAAGGGACUACGUGGUACAAUUAGCAGGAGCGAUGGUCCAUUUUAUUAAACUUGAUGGUUACAUAUAAAAUUGUUUGUACGGGCCGAAAAUAGAUUUGUACUUAUUACUUUGUUUUAGCAUAUACGGGUAUCAACUGCAGUAGUGAAAUGUGAUAAUAGAUGUGAGGAUGGAUCAAGUAAGGCUGCAGAAGAGGAAAAUUGUGAUGUGAAAAGUGGAGACACGGAAACUGUCUCAAGAAUGAAAAAGGCGAAUAUGAUUAGUUAUUUAAAAAUUCCGGCGUUAAUGUCAAAAUCGCAUGGAGGAUCAUCUGAUAUGUCUAUGAAGAAGCAGAGAGUGUACCGCAGUCCCCAGUGCAAUAAGGAAAUGGAGAAGGACUCCAGUGAGAGAAUCGAUCGCGAGAAAAUAUGCAAUUACUGCCUCAGUUAUGAGCCCUCUUGCAGUGGAACUAGUGGCUGUGUAGAUACACAUAACGAAAUCAAUGGAAAAGAAGAUAGUAAGAGUAGAGAAGAUAUGGAUUGUGUACAUCUGCUUCAUAGUGAUAUCGAGACCUGGAUGCCUGCAGUAUGUGUUGAGAAGUUACACCGUAAUGAGCAAAAUAAGGUGGUUUUUAUGUAAGAAAUGCAAAAUGUUUGUAAAUGAAUCGAUAUGAUUAGUUCGUUUAUCAUUAACGUGGUGUGUGUUUUGUUUGAUUACUUGCGAAUGAUUUGCUGGACCAGUUAUUGCAGGGGUGUGUUGGUAGGCUACAAUCUGGUAUGCGAAGUAAACGGCUGGCAGAUGUGCAUAUGUGUAAUGGAAAGUGUGGCGGGAGAGUGCAUGGUGAGUUGGAAGUGUUUAAGAAUUGUCCUGAAAGAUCACAUUAUCGAGUCGGACCUUAUCUUAUGCCAAUGCCUUUUGAUAUGGAUGCGGAGAAGUUGAUAACAUUCUGCAUGGAUGAAAAUCUUAACAAAGGGUGAGAUAAUUGGAAAUUUUACCCAACCGCGACCGUGAUGUAGGAAAAAAGUGUAAAUCUCGGAUUCUUUAGUAGCUUAAAAUGUAGAUAGGACAAAGUUGACGGAUGAUUCAGUUAUAGCACUAAUGCCUGUCGAGGUUGCUUUUAAUGUAGCAGGGAGAUGCUUUUCCAGACAAAGUUGAAUGAGAUAACUCGAAACGAUAUUAUGUCUCUAGCUCCCAGAAGUAUGAUAAAUUUGAAGGUGGAGAUAUAACUCGUUCACAAUGCUGCAUUGAUGUUGGUGUUAAUAAUUUAUUGUUUUGAAUAUCAGUUGUCAUAAAAAAGUGUACACUGAGGUUUUACUUAGUGGCCAUGUAAAAGUCUAAGUUUGGUGAACAUUUCAUUUUCAGAUUGUUUGCGCAUUUUCGGAAUUGCUUUCAGCACAGGGGAGGGAGAAGGUUGGCGACAGUACAUUCAGCCUUUUCCUGUCAGCUUUUAAUGGCGUAAGUCGUUUCUGCGACUCUGUGAUGUUGAUAGUUUCUUUUAAUAACAGCUGAACACAUAACUGCGCGUGUAGCAGAAUGUAUUGUAUGUGUCCAGGUGUAGAAGUUCGUGACAAAAUGUAUGAAAAAAUUUUUCCUAACUUCGUAUGAAACAUUAUUUUUCUAAUUGUGUACUCAUUGUAUGUUAUAGAAAGUUUAGUUCGUCCAUUAUAACUUAGAUAGAGGAUAAAUCAAACAGUUGCAGGAUUGUGUUGAUGGCCAGUGCACGCAUCUUAUGUUUCCAUCUGCUCACUUUUUGAAUGGUAAAUUUGUUGUGGCGAAUUUUGGUUGUUGUAAAAAGGUGGGUAUAAUACUUUUGUUACGUGUAGGCAUGGGUACACUUAGUGGUUUGUUGUUCCGUAACUCGUAUUCCUUGUUAUUGUGCAAACCUGUGUAGAUAUUUGUCCCGGUCAGCAACAGGUUUGCGCAUUGGUACGUCUUGGUUGUAAUUAUUGAUGAAACGCGGGUCGAGGUGUGGGAUCCACUCCCUAGUGCAACGACUUCAGAUUUGGCCAUUGAAGAAUGUAAACACGUGGUGAGUUAUGUUUUGUUAAUUGCAAGGGUAGUUACGUAUUACCGGGGAAAAUUAUUAAAGCAAUUAUUGUUCUUAGGGAAUGAGGACUUAUGCCACGUAGUUGUGCAAAAGUGCACACUGAAACCUUUGCAGUGAUUCUUGUAUUGCAGUUACGAUCAAUUGAGAUAUUGUUGCGUCAAGGGGCAACAACCCGUAUCUCCGCUGCAUUAAACAUCAGGGAUUUCGCGAUUGAGUUCUGUACAAGAGAGCCAAGUAUAGUAAAUGAACAUGAUGGUGCGCUAUAUGUUAUGUUGAUGAUGGAGAGGCAUCAAAUGUGGUCAUGCCUUACUGAGACAGAAGUAAUGUUUUCCAUUUGUUAUUUUCGAUAGUUAUAUGUGUCAAUCUUUGAUACUAGUACUGUGCACUUGUUAUUAUACAUGUGCUAUGCACUGAAAAUAAUGUGUGUAUUGAACAUGUUUAGAUCAAGUUUCAUUCCGAUUGUGAGAGGGCACGUAUUGUGGUCGACCUUAUCACCUACAGCUUCAACAACUUAAAGGAUAAGGUUCGCACAAGCGUUCAAAAGCAUCAACAGGAUCUAGAUGAUGCAGCGCAUUGUGUGAAUAAGGCUAUUGCGAAAAGGCGGUUGAGGCAGCUGAGGAAGUCCAACCGUAUGGGCCACGGUUGGAGGCAUUAGCUACCUAUGCAUAGUUACCUGUCUGUUUAUUCCAUUAUCUGCUUACAUGUAUACGCUUUCUGACAUUCAAUUCCAUUUGAUGGGUGUGUUUGCGACAAUACAACUUUUCUUGCACCCUCACAGAUUUUGCAUAUCGAUUAUGUUUGGUUAUCUGUUGUAACGUUGAAAUGAUUUUUCGUUUAAACUAAAACUUUUUUCAUGUAUUGGUAGUUUAUGUAAUGCAAUAAUAGGUUUCAUAUCAAUAAUUGUAAAUGGAAACAUUCGAAAGGCCUGGGUCGUCGCUGUCGAUUGCGCAUAUGUGUUGUUAGAAAUUGGCUGUUUUGUUCCUUGAUGGUCGUGCUUUCUUAAAUUAAUUGAUCACGAAUGCCAUCCACAAACAUACAGUGGACCUUCUUACGACUUCACAUCCAUCUCAUUAUGGUAUUUAUUGGGAAACAAUGUUAAGCGCUAUUGGUAGAUUAAGUGGUAAUUAAUCAAUAUUUGAUCGGAAAUGGAACAUAUUGCCAUUCAAUAUGUGACAGUAGUCUAGUAUUAUGCAACUAAAAUUAAUGGAUAGUGUAUCUUUACACCUGAGCUUUGGCUGUAUACAAGUAACUAAAGGUAGGGUCCUCUACCCAACUAAUUUGUGUUGCAUGUACUGACAGUCACCAAAAGUAGUGGGCGUAUAUGAUGAGGUUCCAAUAUUGUUUAAUUGACUUGGGAGGGUGCUUCUGUUCAGGCCUGGUUUGUUGAGUCACUGUCCCAGGUGGGUAGACGUUGGUUCUGCCAUGCAAGUACAUCAGGCAUGAAUGGUAGAUUAUGCUUACUGUUUUGUUGCGCCGUGACAACAUUCCUCGAGUCCGUUGGUUGUUGUAAUAUGGGGGACGUACCUGAUCCACAUACCCCAUUUCUUGGUUGAACGUUGUUAUCGCAACCCAAGUCCACGGUUUGUGCCGUUGAGUCAUUGAACCGUUGUUCUGUCCUACCUUUUUGCUUGCACUUUCGAACAUUGUGGCCUCGUCCACCACAUCUGCUGCACUUUCGCUUUUGCCCCUGUAUGUUCUUUUGUCUUUUAACCGAGCCUUUUGUCAAAACAACCUCCGGGUCUCGUACCACUGUUUCUGUGCUAUGGAAAGCUUCCCUUGUCGAUUGCUCUCCCUGAGACAUUGCCUCUAAUUUUAACGUCAAAUUAUGAAUAUUUGAUAUUGCUUCAUUGUAUGCGGCAACACUGGAUGCAGCAUAUCGAAGCAAACUCCGGCAUGAUGCAUAAAUCAUGCCUACGCGAGCUUCCUGUGUCAUGUAAUGCAAACACUGUAAACUUGUCUCCGAUGGAGACUGAACCGCAUACUUUGCAGUCAUACUCUAUCGAGACAAAAUCAUUGCAGGUGGAAUUUCUGUGAUAUUUUCAGCUUUCAUCACAACAAAACAGUGCGAACAUGGAAUUCCAAGUGUCUCCAAGCACUUGCAGCUGCAGGAUAAAGUUUUUGUCGUUUCAUUUACCACUACUUGGAAAUGUUUUCCAGAAACACCAAAUUGUCUAACUCUGUAUGUAGUACAGCCUAUAUCUCGGUCACAUAGUACUGCAGUAAGCAUCCCUUCCUUCUCAAUCUCUUCUCGAACCAAACGAAAUAUGGCACGCGUGUACUUCUCGGCUGCCUGCUGCUCAUACACCUUCAGGUGGGUUAUUAGUACCGGACGGCCCUCACAACUGUCAAAGUCAUCCUUUCCCUCCCCCUCUCUUUGCCUAUCCAUAACUUGAUCCAUCUGUUUAACAAAUUCAACCAAUCGAAGCCUUCUAUUCACAUAGUGAUUUAAUUAUGCAUUCAUUCCCUCUGAUCUCUGAGUGCUCCUCAUUCCACCGAAAAACUUACCUCGCAAAUAUGUCUCAGCCCACAUAUGUCUGUCAUCAUACAUCUUCUGAACCCAAUCAUUCAUCCCUACGUGGUGUGUGUCUACCAUGUGUUUCCAUUUUUCAUUAAAUUCAUCCUCCGUAUAUCCAUUCAGCAUACACCGCCGAAAUUCUCUAGUGAAAUCAGUGUUGUUUACAUUGGUCUGUGCAUUCCGAGCCAAAUGCCAGCAGCAUAAUCAGUGGCACGCUUGUGGAAAAAUCUUGCUAAUUGCAUUCCGUAUUGCUCUGUCCCCAUCUGUAAUGACUGUCUUUGGCUGCUUGUUAUUCAUUGCCAAUAUAAAUGAUUCUAACAGCCAUGUGUAUGUGUGUUCAGUUUCAUCCGCUAAUAAAGCAAAUCCGAACACUAUUGUCCGCCUAUGAUGAUUGAUCCCCAAAAUAACCACAAAAGGUUUCCGAUACGCAUUUGUUUUGUACGUUGCGUCGAAUGCUAUUACAUCCCCAAACAAUGCAUAAUCAGCACAAGAUCCCCCGUCGCACCAAAACAAGUCCCCUAGUUGAUUUGAGCUAGUAACUGUAAAGUCAUAAAAGAAAGACGGAUCGGAGCUCUUCUUCCCAUCUAGAUAUGAUAGGCAUGUAACUGCAUCUGACUCUUUUAAUUCCUACUGUCUCUUCGAAUCGAGCAUAUUUUGCACAUCCUUCAUACUAUACCCAACUUUGUCGUAACCCCCGGAUCUAUGCACCAUGAACUUGUGUAUCUGAGGGGGUUUUACACCCACUUGCUGAAGUGACGAUGUCGCUACCAAGUCUGGUUCUGUUACUCUUCUAUGGGACUGUAUGUGAUGCACAAGCUUUGGGGGGGUUAGUUCGUGAUUGUGGUUGCCCUGGAAAUAGCUGCAUGUCCAUCGCCUCGUUUGUUCGUUGAAAUUUAUGCGAAAUUGUGCCCUACAAACCGUUCGUGCUUCCCUGAUUCUUCUUUUGUUUUCGAGGUGCUUUCGAUAUCUGAACCCCUCUCGACUACACACCCAUGCAAUAUGAGUGAUUUUCCCUUGAACGUUUCUUCGUUUAUUGUGUUUUCGUAUGCCAAAUCCUUUUGUGCGCGCGUAUUCCCGAAAACAUAUUUCAACUUCCUCUUCACUGCCGAAUUCCUUUUCUAACAUUGGCGGAAUGGUUGUCCCGUUAUUCGAACCUGUAGCUACGGAUUGGGGGAAUUGUCUGUCAUUGUUGAUGUUGAUGCAUUCUGCAGUGGUCACCUGGUCCACGGUAAGGUGGGGGUCGUCUUCCGAGGGUCCUUCACCUUCAUCGUCAGUUAUGACCGGACUGGAAUUCGCUAUAUUAAAGUCGUCUUCGCCAUAUAUGUCUGCAGUAAUCAGCGAACUGAAAUAGUCCCCAGCUUCCGUUUCUUCGUAUGAUUCGGACAUGGUAUUCUGUCUCACUAAGACAGAACACUCUUGACAUAUUUCUUUCAGCGCCCUCUGUACGUAACGAUAGAAAGUCGUCCCUAAUUCAACAUUCCAAUAACGUUGCAUCUUCUCAGAAGGUUCCUGUCACCUAUUUUUCCCUCCAAGGUAUAACGACAUCCCUGGUUCUCCCGCCCUUUUAUGUAUGUUUAAAAAGUUUAAAUGCUACUGUUAUAGUUACGCGAUUUUGACUACUUCGUUGGUGUACCGCGAGGUUAUUUACUAAUUGGUCGUAGUUGACCUGAAAUUAAAUUAUCCAUUCAUAUGAAAGGCCCAUUAUUGUCUUAACCUAAAUAUCCAAUGCAAACGGGCCCCGCAUUGGCCCCGUUUGCAACAUGUCGUUUGCAGAAUGAACAUAAAUCUCUCUAAAAUUUCAGUGUGCCAGUUACCAACUUCAACUUUUCACAACUCAAGUACCCAAUGGUAAUGUAUCCAACCUUUUGGGAAGACUCACAUUUCAAUUGAAAUUCAGGAUUCCUUUUACACUCAUGUUCAUUAUAUCUUCAAAUAAAAUUAUCCGUUGACAUAUUUGCAUUUGCAUAUGGGGUAAACCAACCUUCACCAACGCUACUACAAUUGCUUCAUUGAUAUUACACCAUUGGACACCCCCUUCAUUAACAAUCUUUAUUUGUAAUCGACUGAACGGAUCAAAGUUUGUUUUCAAUUAAUGUGUAACAUUUCACCUGCACUGAUCAGUGUGAUUUAACUUCCAACGUAUUUUCAGCUUACUACGUCCUUCCAAAUGCACAUUACGUAUUUCACUAACACAGUAGCUGCACGGACAUGUUGACUGCAUUAAUCAGAGAUUCGCAUAUAGUUGCUUUCAGUAAGAUGUGACGGUGUGCGUGGUGUGCACCAUUUACGUGGAGAGGUAACCCUAAAAGGGUCCACUUCAUCAUAUUUUGUUAUCUUGUCUGACUCCAGUUUUGUUUAACCUUUUUACCUGAUGCAUCAUACACCGAAAAUAGAGAAAAUUGUUAAUUCGUUCUGCCGUAAAAUACAUAAACCCACUUGAUAUGUUUGGUUUUUUUGGUGAUAUAUGUUGCCUUAAGGAGUCCAUGGAGAGCAAUAUAGUUGCCAACCGACAUAUUACAUGAGACGAUAUGCAAUUUAGCAUUAACCACGCAAAUGUGUAUCAGUUCAAGAAAACAAUUUACACAGACCAUGACAAAAGCAGUGCAGGUACCACACAAAGGGACAACUUUAUAUUGCCUAUAUAUAAAUGGAGUGCUUCGGGUCUGGUCCUACGAACCUACUACACGAACAGAGUAACAACUAACGCAAAGAUUGACUACAUAAUUACAACUGUAUAGCCACUAUCGGCCGAACUCCCACUGUCGUUAUCCUCGUUCGCUGCGAAAUCUUCGUCCUCGGCCGGAUCACAUAAAUGUCGUUCCUAUGUAAAUGGACAGAUAAGCAUCACAAACAUUAUGAACUUCCCAAAAAAUGUUGAUAAUAGUGAUCAUGCGGAUAUAUGCUUAAUUAACUAUGACCAGUGCGUUGAUGAAGGAAAUUUUUGAUACAUUAUAAAAAUAAAAACCACAACCUGACUGUUCGAUGGCCCCACGGGUGGUGAUGUUCUUACAACCUUGCAGGUCCGCUUCCCAUGGCCGUCUCCACUGCAUAUGCUGCACCUGUAAAUUUACUUGGACCCGCCACCGUCGCGCCUUUUUCCCGUCGGUUGUUGACCUUUCGUGGCGAUACCUUCUUCCAGUUUGUGCUCCCGGCCAACACAUACGCUGGGGACUUGGUCUCUUGCCCCCAAAAUUCUUGUGGGGGUAUCAACUGUCGCCACUUGUGAUUCCUCUCCGUCAAACAUUACAACAAGACGGACAUUGUACUCGCCAUUGGUGAUGCACUGUCUAAUAAUAUUCUUAAGCGAUUCGUCUCCGUUGACUUCCACGACAUGACCACCCCACGGAAGGACUGCUUUAGGGUGGAAUCUAUGAAUCUUUGGAGACUCCUUCUGGAGCACCAGCGCUGCAAUGUUGCACAGACGUUCAACAGUAUACGUCGUUGGCCUAACUGUUUGAAUCAUCAUGCCCGACCCCAUGUACUCGAGGACGAAAGUGAAGAGAGGACCCUCUGCCGGUGUGGAAUCGGUCAUACUGUUGUUUCCGUAAAUACCAUAAAACCCGGUUGAGUACGAUUUUUGUGGUUUGAAACGUUGCUAUGCAGUAACCGAAACAAAUGAUGACUUUUUCUGGUAAACACAAUAUAUUUUGCUUUCCACUAGUACCCCCCGGCCGGUUACACACACACUUCAUAAAUGACGGGCCCCUUUAUGCAAUUACGACUGCAGGGACAGUUUUCAUAAAUACCAUAAAUGAUUGGUCCAGUCCUCGAACUAUUGACAAUUUCGUUAUUUUUCGUUUUACUCCAUGUUUUUCAUUUCCCCACAAAUGAUGUGGUUUUGGUAUUUACUUAAACUUGAGAAAGCGUUAUUAGAAGUUUAUGUAUUACUAUUUAUGUGUUCAUUUUAUGUUAGAAUGAACAUCACAUAUAGUAAAUUUCUAACAACUUACUAUAAAAUGUAAAAAUAAUUUUACUCAUAAUUAAUAAUUUACUUUAUAAUUGUCAAUAGUGAUGUAAUUACUGUUCACAAUUUAAUUAUUAAUUGUACUUAUCGUUAACGUACAUUAUAAACAAGUUAAUAAAAAUCUUUAAUUAUUUAUUGGUAAUACAUUAAUUAGUUAUAAUGCAUUUAAUUCUUGGAAAUUAUUAAUAGCAAAUUAAUUUUUACAAAAAAUUUUAAUUUUAUAUGAAAAUAUAAUAAUAAUUAUAAUUAUUAAAAAAUUUCAAUAGUUUUAAAUUUUUUAAACUGGAGGUUUUUUUCAUUAUUUAUAAGUAUGGGUGCCAAUUGAUACUAUAGGAUUUCAGUAAAAUAUUAUUCAGUAUAAGUGGUUGAACGAAAUAUGACCAUUCAAAUUGUUUAUAGUAGUGUUGAAUAAAAAGAAAUACAUUAGAUAACAGGGUCGUGCAUGAUAUUUCAUAGGCCGACCAUUACCUACAUUAAAUGUAACUUUAUUGGAAAUAUCUCUUCUUAAUUAUGAUUCCCAGGGGAGGGGAAAGGUUGUAACGGUCGGGAUGUACGAUGCUUCGCCCAGAAGUCUCCCACACAGUUAUCGAGCACUGAUAACACUCCAACCAAGAUUGACCGAUUUGGGGGUAAUUGCUUGCAUCGCGACUGCGGCUGUCACAUCGGCAAUGACAAAUAAAUGACAGUAGUAGAUCUUUCCGUCCUACUAAAUCUUCGAAGUAAUUAAAGCAUGGAUUGUGGAUUUCGGGGAGGGCAACAGUUGAGGGAUGAUGUUGUUGUCAUUCGCGUGUACAAACACUGACAACGAAGUACUUUCCGGUGAUUUGCUGACCAAUACAGUCAUCGGGUUUCAAUAAAAUAAUUGACAGUGCAUUGGGUGUCGCACCUGUCAAUCCCGGAGACAUGUGAUAGUAUAUUCAAAUCUUGCAGCAGCUAUUUAAUGCUUUUGGGCAAUGGAAAAGGUGCGUGGAAAUUUCCCAGGGGUAUACCAGCUGCACAAACGGCGCAUACAUUAAAUCGUUGUUCGUCUUCGCCUCUUUUGCAUUUAUUGUCAUUAAUAUGGGUGCCACGUUGUAGCUAUUGGUCAAAUUAAUUGACAGCAACUGCACGCCUACAAGGGAUGAGUGGAAUAAUUUGUUGUGCAUCCCCUCGGUUGACUUCAAGUUACCGUUUCUUUUAUUACCGUUGGGGACCAUAUGAUAACAUUCCGUAAAGCACCUUCACCACUUAUAUAUUGCUUUUCCUUCUUUAUACGAUCUUGCUUGAGAUAUCUUCAUGUGAAUUUCGAUUUGAGAAGAAUAAAUGGCAUCAUGUGCGAGUAUUUACACCAGCAAUGGGAGUGGUAGCCGGGGUAAAUGGAUUCAACUAAAAAAUCGAUACUGCAACUGUCAUGAGCGUCGACGAGCUGCAAUACGCAUCUCAGAGUCACCUAAGAACCCAAGGCGCCUUUUAUUUUGCUGUGACACAUGUAAGUUCUUUCAGUGGUGGACGCCGGAUAACGAGGAGUGGGCCAGUAUGCGUGACUACGUUCAUGAUAGGACAACAGAGUUUCGUUUGCGUCCGUGGCACAUUGCGUCGUGGUUUAUUGGGAUCAUCGUGGCAAACCUUUUGGUAAGAGAAGUGGUUGUGAUGUACUUUUGGUGGUAUUCAAGGAGGACCUAGUAAGCUGAUAAGUCCCCGCCAAUGUGCAAUUGUUUAUGCUUUUAAAUUUUGUUGUUUGAAAUGGUAAAGUAUGUGCUAUUAUACAUUGCCACAUGUAAAGCACAUUAACCGAUAUGUAAUCGAACGGAUUAUGAAACCGAGGAUUAAAUCAUCUGCAUGAUUGUGUUUUGGUUAUGGCGUUGUUAGAGGUUGUUCUGUGUUUCAUUUAGCAUUGUUUGUAACCAUUACGAUUCCGACAAAGGGAAUGUCAUUCAAAAGUGGGGUCGGCUAACUUAAGUCAAUUGUUAUCGCACAAAGGUAUAAAACAAGGCGCGUGAACCAUAAAAAGUGAAACCUAGAUGCUACCCCUUAUCCAUAAUAGCCAAAGAACAUCUGAGAUAUAAAAAAGCCCCUACCAGAGUUGAACAGCAGCAAAACAACAUUAGAACACUGAGAGACGUUGAUAAGAGGUAGCAUCUACUAUCAAUGCCUUCAAGACGGAGAUUUGCUAGUGUAGCCGAUUGUAAAUUGCCCAGGCUAAAACGAACAUAAUCGACGCCUCAUUUAGCUCGACAUUAAAAUUAAAAUUUGAUAGAACCCCCUCCCACGUGAUGAACACAUCAAGAAAUGAGGACGUGAACAAAAUCUAGUACAUUCGAGAAGUUGCAUUAAUGGCAAUGUGCAAAUGCAUGAUGUUGCGCUUAUCUGCUUCGUACCUGCAGAUAAUUCGAAAUUCAUUAUUUGGGAUUGACAGAACAUGUCCCCAGACCUAAGAAAUACCAAGAUUGUUGUCUCAUAUUCCAGGACUGAGGCAGGCAUUUACAAGUUUUCAUGGCAGUCGUUGGAUAAACAAACCGAAUAAAGCGUUUGUGUAUGUAAGGUUAAGGGUAAUUACACCGUAAUAUUAGGACCAUGCGAGUCGCUGAUGGAUUUUAAGAAUAUUAUCGACGAUUGUAAAUAACAAACAUUUAUAUGAAAGAAAAUAACCAUGGAAAUAUAGUAAAAACACAGCACACACUUCCAUCGCAACGUUAAAUCGAAAACUUAUAUAUCAAUCAGUAGUCUGCCGAACCUGAUAUCAUUGUUUUCUUCUGGAGAACGAACGAGCGAGGUGACGUCCCUCCGCGGGGGAAAAAGUGGUGAUAAUGUAUUGAGCACCACGGAUGAAAACCUGAGGGGAAGUUGUUUACUUUAACGACCAUGUUGUAACGGCUUUUUAUAUUAAUGUUACGGUCCACAUGGGUCAAUUAAAAUCGUACAUGUGGCACAGUGGCCAAGACGAACAAAGGAGCAGAGUUUCAAUUGAAGUAAUAAGUCCCGGGGAAAAAAAUUUUUGGUUACGCAACAGUAACAAGUGCAAUAACAAAUGUGAUGAAACCACCGAUGUUCCUUUCGCAUAGGGUUUGAAAACAGAUGAAACAAAUAUUGUUAAUAUUCCAUAGGUAUUGCAAAGGAGACUUAGCUGUUAUCAUCCCUACGUGACCACAUAGUUGGAUUUACGGUAUUUAUUGGGAGAUAUGCACACUGCUUUUGUCAAUAAUAUAUAAUGAGCGGAGAACGAAGUCUAUUCGAUAUUAAGUUAUCGCAUAGGUUUAUAACUAUGUAUACACACAUAUAUAUAAAGAGUCGGGUUCGGGAUGUAUGUCUGUGUUUGGUACAUGACAUGAUGCACAGCCUUUAAAUUAGACAUUUUUACGGAUAAAGGUACGGUCCAACUGCGGUACCGCGCUACUGUUGCAUUCAGACGUUCGAUGCACAUUCAUUGCUGGGAUCCACUAACAUGCAACAACUGAAUGCAACUGUGACCAGGGGUGACUUUAAGUAUAGGCGAGCAAGGCGAUUGUCUAUGGCCCUAUAUUUUUUGAAUGCCUCAUUUUUUUUUGUAUUUCUUAAUUGUUCUUUAAUUAAUAAAUAUCUUUUUUUAUUAAAAAUUAUGUAUUGUAGAAAACCCUAUUAGACAUCUUUAUAAUUAACAGUUAUACCAUAACUAAGAAUUAUUUUUUAUUUAUUUAUAGAAAAUCAAUAUUUGGUAACCUUAAUGUUCCAUAGAGAUAAUAGGGAAAAUUGUUUAGUCAUUAAUUCAUGCAUUAUUAGUUUUUCUAAAAAAAAAUUUACAUUUUUUACCUUUUAACUUUCCUAAGAAAAGGCCAAAAAUAUGACUUUUAAUAUUCAUUUUAAUUCCUUGUAGUAUAAAAAAUCAAUAGAUAAAUAGAUUUCUUACUCUCUUUUUUUUUUUUUAACAAAGAGAAUUAUAACAUUCAUUGAUUCAUUUUAAAAAGAAAAAAAUUGUUUCUUAAAAUACAAAAUGCAUAUCUAAUAUUUAAUAAUCAAUUUAUCAUCUCAAUUUUCUACUAUUCUAAAUACAAAAAUAUUCUAUUUGACAAAAUAUUGUUUUAAUUAUUUGUUUAUUUACUUUUGUAAUAAUGUUAAUGGAAGUAAAAAAAGAUAUCUUCUUGCUUUUUCUUUAAGUUUGGUUUUUGAAAAUUUUUAAGAUCGUUUUUAUUACUAUUAAAAUUCAAGAGUUAAAAGUCGAAUAAAUUUUUUAAUAUUUUAUAUUUCUUUGAGUAUUGAAAUGACAAAAUAAAAAAGGCCCUACAAAAACUUUUUGCCUAAGGCCCCAUAUACUCAAAAGCCGGCCCUGAUUGUGACACGGUACCACACUUCGCCCACAUAUUUAUCCCAUUUUGAAAAUAAAAACAUCUUAAACUUUUAUGUCGUCUUUCCUUCAUUCGAUGAUUGGAACCACAAGUGAACUAAAGCUGCCCCCAUGGAAUUUGUAUAACAAACAUUGAAGGUACAACACCAUCAACCAAUAACUCAAUGCAUAACCGGAACUCAUUUAUUUGGUAAAGUCGAUGCGGUCUUGAGCUUCAACUUUAAAUAACAGGUUUCAUACGGUCGAAGGGGUACACGGUACCCCUUCUUAUUGGGAAACUACUAUGUUGUGACUCUUGCUUGCAGAAGAGUCAUCCAUUAUUUAUAUUUGAAUGAUAAACCUUACGUCAGUAUUAUGAAAUUUUUAAAACAUUGUCAUUUACUGGGAGACAUCUACGGUGCAACGGUAAAAUUUGUUAUUAAUAUUGAAAAAUAAAAUUUUGUUAAAUAAUUAAUUUCGUUUAUUAUUCAUAAAAAAUUUUUUUACUGUUUCUACAAAUUGUGUAAUAUGGUUGGUUAAUUUAUAUAUUGUUACAAACAGUAUAAAUUCUAUAAUAUCACAUAUGCUUCAUUAAAAUUUUAAAUAACAAUAAUCUUUUUAUUUUAUAUUACAUUGCUAUUUAUGUAUUUCAAAGAAUAAAAAACAUUGUAUGUAUUACAAUGUGUUUUAAGUUAUUGCCGUAAUCCCGUCAAAGAAAAUAAUAGUACAGUUACUCAAUUAACACAGGAAACAAAUGAAGAAAAAUCCAAAUUUUUGUAUGAAACCGUUCAUUAUUUAGUUCUUUUGAAAUCAUUAACGAUGUGAGUGUUACAAACCAAAGAGAAUAAAUCCGAGGCGUUGAAACAAGUUUUCAGUUCCAUAUAAUGGGCAACUCAUAUAUAGACAAAAUGACGGGUACCAUGGAGCAGGUGCAAGGUACAAGACCCGUUAUGGUUUACUUGAAUUGUAAUGAUUUCAUAUUAAUAUGGAUUAAAUUAUUAAGCGUCGAUCAAUUAAAUAAGGUAUGAAAUAUUAACUUUAGUAGUCAUAAAUUAUACAUUGUCGAAUAUUAUACAAAGCGUGGAUCAUGAAAACUUUGUUAUUGAACGUAACAUUGUCAAAGAACGAUUUCAAAUCGGGUCAAUCCAUACUGGUUCAUCACAACAAACACAUGUAACCUCCGCCAUGGAUGGAUCCGUCAAAACUUAUAUUAUACUGAAGGCCAAUUUAACGGCUGCACAAUCUGACGUUACCAAUGCCAUUUAUAGCAGCCACUGUUAUUACUUACAAUAAUAUGUUCAGAAAAUAUAGGGUACAUCAAGAGGCAAUCGGAGAGGGUUAAUAUGAUCAACGUCAUUUGGACGUUCACAAGUGCACUUGCUAGUGUCCCCCCAGGCGGAGUACAACCCAUAGGGAUGCUUUAUAUAGGCCCUUUGAAAAUAACAUCUUUCAGAUUGCGAUCCAAAAGAAAAAUGACUCCUAAACUUGAGCCCAAUUUUACACACAGUGAAGUCAUUUCCUUGAUUAUGCUGUUAUUACUAAUCUGAACGACAGACUGCACACGGAAAGGUCGAUAUGGGAGCACUACACGAAGCUUUGUUAGCGAUGAAUGGAUGUGGCAAGUAUGCAAUCAGAUGAUGGUGCUGACAACCAAAGGAACCAAUAUAUGUCAAAGUGGCGGCAACAUCAACCGACUUCGCGCCACCUCCGGAGUUCAGGUGUAAUUAAUUGCUUUGAUAUCAUUCAACUUUUUUAUGUGAUUCGGACAUACGUGCCACCAACGAAAUUUCCACCUUAAGUCUGCUGCCUUAAAUUCAUUCGUUAAGUAGGAGUGCUCAACAAUCUUCAAAUGCAGAUGACAGGAGGCAUACCAAAUAGGCGUGGAAGAUAAACCCUGUCGCUUCGAGCGCAUAAACCAGGUAAAAAGCACAGCACAAUAUCUGUUUCAUGUAAUUUACAACUUGUGAAAAUGAAUGAAUUUGUUUAUGCUUCAACAGAAUUAUUUAACAAUCUCACCUUAGCUUGUAUUCCACCCAAAUGUACAAACAAUUUGCGACACCGAAGCAUCUCGCCAUGUCGCAAUGCUUUUGGCCAUGCAGUAGUUAUAACAUGAUUCAUAAAUUGAAUGUUAAUGCAUGCCAUCCACGGGUGGUAAUGUGCAGGAGAGUUGAGAAGGACCGGCCAAAUUUACGACAAUCCACUAAAGUUAUAGAAGACGAAUGGCGGGCCGAAGUGAAGGAUACAAAAAAGAAAAAGAAAUUGACAUUCACGGGAUCUACCAACGAACGUCUGUCCUCCAACUGGUCCCCUGAAUAUAUUCGCAGUCGCAAAAGAACUCAUACAUGGGGGACGAUAUUGGAUGACAAGGGUGUAGCAAUCACAAGAAAAGUGUCCAGACAACUAUUUCCUACCAACAACACCGAAACAGCACAUGUUAGAGAUGAUAAACCAGUGGAUAUAUUACUAAAUAAACGCUGGCCAAUAAGGUGCUACUCCGAUGACGAAUGCGACAGGUUGGCAGACACCUAUUAGAAGGUUACACAUCCGAAAAUGAAAAGGAGACUUUCUAUACAUUCACAGCUAACCAACCGGACUGCCUAGAUGUCGGGGACACAUUCGUAUUUGACCACAGUGAACAACAUAAACUUAUUUUCUAUAUUGGACAGAAAUUUAAACAUGUCACAGCAUUUAGACAGGCACUUCAGGUGUCUGUAAUUCGUGAAGGGUUUAACUUGUGCGUUAUGGAAAAUCGAACUGAUGUUGUUAGUUGUGAGUGUUCUCAUCUGUGCUGUGACUAGCAAAUAAAGGCAGCGAGAGUUGUAAACGAAAAUACCUUUGUCGUAACAGAUUUCUCACCCCAACACAAAUGUCUCCGACGUGGCCCGAUAUUCCAACCUCGAUCGAAAUGGAUUUCGGCCAUGUUUCUUCAUCGGUGGAAACAAGAACCAACUAUCAGUACAAUUGCACUGACGCAUGAGAUUGAAGCUACCUUCGACUGUAAAUGCCCAGAAUGGAAGGUGUUCUGUGCAGCAAAUAGAGCCAAACAACUUCUGGGGAUUGAUCACGAAGACGGUUAUGCAAUGGUAAACUAGUUCAAACAAGAAAUGGAAACAAUCGAUAGGAACAACAUCGUGCUUGUCGACACCGAAAUACUGCCAUCGGACGGCGGAGAGAGAUUCAAGCGGAUGUUUGUGUGCUAUGAACGAGCCUCUUAUGCCUUCAAGGUGCAUUGUCAACGUCUGCUGGCCGUCGAUGGAUGGAAAAUGAACAAUCCAUAUAAUAGUGUCAUGCUAGUCGCAGCUGCACUUGAUGGAAAUAAUGGGAUAUUGCCUGUAGCAUUCUGCGAAGUUGAAGUUGAAGACAUGGAUUCUUGGGUUUAUUUUUUGAAGAACAUUAACAAUGCUUUGCGUUUAGAAUCUAGUACGGGUCUAUGCAUACUGGCCGAUGGAGAUAACGAUGUUGAAUAUGCUGUUGAAGAAUACCUCGCUCAUGCCACGUACAGACAAUGCUGCCACCGGAUCUUCACCGAAAUGGUCAAUAGAUUCCCCAAGGCAGCUGUUCACUACUUAUUCUGGGCUGCUUGCCGCAGCACGAGUGCAUCAGCUUUCUUUAAAUACAUGGAGUUGAUAUGUGUUCAAAGCAAAGAAUGCCAUGACUGGUUAGAGAAAUCAAAUUGGAAAAGGUGGGCGCUUUUUUGCGUGCCUGAAUGGGUAAAGUGCACUUGUAUUACACUAACAAUUACCGAAAAACUUCGCAAUUACUGUCAGCCAUAUUUGGAAAUGAACAUUGCAAGAAAAUUCGAGGCAAUUGCACGGUUAACAUCGGAACUAUUUGAACAAAGACGAAUGGUCGUAUGGAACUAGAACCGGGAGAAAGUACCACCAAAAGUUCAAGAUGUAAUUAACGAUCGUUGUAUUGAUGGUAAGCGGCUCAGCGUCGUUCAGGACCAUGGCACACUGCUGAAAGUUACUGAUAGUCUUUCCUCCUCUUAUGACCUAAACAUGGAAGCAAUGACAUGCACUUGUGGAUUAUGACAAAUCUCAGGUAUUCCCUGUCCUCAUGCUUGCAUCGGAAUACAUUACAUCAAUGGAAACGUUGAAGAUUAUGUCGACGAGUUAUUGUCUGUUCAAAAUUUUAUGUCCACUUAUGCGCCGGGCAUGAUGCAACUACCCAAAGAAAAUGCUUGGAAGUGGCAUUCAGGUCACAAUUUGCAUCCACCCAUGACUGUCGCUCUUCAACCUCUCACACUUCAGCCGCCCAAUGACAUCACGUCAAACAAAGAUUUACAACACACGCUUCAUCACUACUACUCUACUACGGACAACCUACAGGUUAAUGUUUUUCUUACACUAAUUGUAUGUCGCUUUCCAUAACUCAUCCUCGAGACAAUUACAUAUGCACUUUCAAUUCACUUUAUUUAACUGCUAACACUGGACACAGGAAACUACCUUUACCAACUCUAGUCAAGAGGAUGGCAUGUGUAUUAUGAUAUCCACCAGCAGCGAUGAUAGUAUAAGUAAGCAUUCAAAAUCUUUCCUUUUGCCCUAUGAUAAACGAAUUUAACAUUUGUAUUUCUUAAUUAACUAUGACCCUAAAUAUUACAGUUUUUUGUUUUCAUCCACAUGUUCAGUUAAAAUUUCGCUCUCUGCACAUAACCCAUUUGGCUUAUAAACUCCUUCCACCAAUUUCUCUGCAUUUCUUCUAAUUGUGUGUAAUAACAAACUUUUAAUACCAAAUAGACUAUUGAUGUAUUUGCCUGUUUUAUUCCGAUAUGUUGUUCAUUACCCACACUUUAACCUGUCUCUACCCCUAAUUUUUAUAUCAAUAAUGUUUGUUUCUUUCUCUGCAGUCGCUCUUCUACAUGGGAUGCAAGGUUGUGACAUUCUGAUAAAUAAUUGUCAUUGUCAAUGGAUUUUGUCGCUAUCCAUUAGUUACUGUUACUGCAUAAUCUUGGCUUAAUUCUGAUUUCAGUUUAUCUAUUUUCAUUGGUUACAGUUCUAACACACCACUUUCUUUUUAUCCUUUAUGUUAUCCACUAGUCUCGUAAGUAGUUUCCAAUUUACUAAUUAGUCGUAACUUUGGCAAUUGCAUUUCUCUACAGGCCUCUGAUGUCGCCACUUUAUCGGGUACAGGACCUCAACAUCAAAUAUUGCCCAUUAGGCCUCGCCCACAUUGCACUAUAGUAUUAUCUUUUUGAUAGUUUCUCAUCCGAUACUUCUGACUCACAGUGUGCUGUUGGGGAAGACUGUUAUUCUACCAAUUCCGCAGUAUUAAUCAACUUUUGAUAUCCACUACCAUUGAUGUUUUUGAGACUACGUCUUUCGCCUGUGUGAUUGUCCCAUAAUAGUUUGUUUCUUUUGUGGUGCCUUGGUUUGUAAAAUAAUGUCAAACAACGUCCCCUGAUGGGAAACAUCGCCAUUACUCACUAAUGCCCCUUAUCUGUUCUUACUACUAGAACCUUUUAAUUCAUUGUCGUUUUUGCAAUGUUUUUCCAUCGUAAUCUCAUAUGUAGUUGGCAAAUGCACUGAUACCCAUUAUUUCGCCAGUCUAUAUUCUCUCACAUUUAUCUUACAACCACCAUUAACAUAAACACGUCUCUCCUAUGGGUUUGACAACCAUGUAUCAGCUCUCUUCAGCUGUCGCAAAUACUUAUUACAUCAGAAAUUUCUGGAUAUGUAUUACAAGAGAACGUAAUUUAUCUCCUCUACACCUUCCACUCAACACUCGCUUUAUUCUUCCGCAAAUACUGCCUAUGGGUUAUACCAGAACAAUAACAUGAUAUCCAUUUCUUGCAACAGAUUAUCAUCCCCUCCAAAUGCCAGACAGUUCACCACAAAUUUGUCAAUAGCCCUUACAUCACCUUCCUUCUAUUCCGCACACCCAUCCCAUUCUGCAAGCACUUUUACUGCCACUACUUCCGCCGUGUACCCUAGGAUCAUUUGAUUGACCAACAACUCUCAUGUAAGCCCAAUAGUGUUUUUGUUUCACUUUCAAAACAAUCAUAAAUUUUACACGGUCAAACAACAUCACUAUACAGGCCCAAUAUUAGUUCAACUCGUAGGUUCUUCAUCUGCAAUCUUCUGAAUUGCUCUACAACUACGAGCCACAACUAAUAAUUCCUGCAAAUACAAAUCACAACUCACUAUCAAAUCCCCUGACAGUUCUUCCGGGAAAUCUCUUCCUCUAGGCAUGCUCCCUUAGCUGACGUUGGUUCCACAGAUUCUAGGACAAGCCAGGGACAUACUGAUUGAUUGGAGCGAAUCCUAUCUGCUUCCAUUCAUUGUCCCGUUCAUCCAACCAUCCGCUUAAAUUUUAGCGAAAGGAAUCUAUCUCUUAUCCCUAAGUAGACAUAGCAACAAUAAAACAAUAUUAAUAUAUAAUUUACCAUGUCAACCAUAUACAUCCACAAACACCAUGUAUUCAUUCUACAACUUUCCUCACACAUCAAAGCCUCGAAAGUGCUUCCACGAUAUUACUGAUCUUCAUUACAGUUCUUCUUGUAACUAAAUAUUAUCCCUGUUUGUAAUUAAUAAGCAAAUCCACCAAACAAUAAACAAUUCUUACACCAAUUUGCACCAACUCACAGAUGCUCCAUUGCAUGAAGACACACAUACGAACCCUCACUAAAUUAAUACUCAUUACCAUUAUUGCCAUACACUCAUCUCACCUACAAACACUUCUAAGCUAACCAAUACUGCCGAACUUUUUCAUUCACCACUUCCCUGUCAUUUCAACAUUCCCACAAUCGAUCAACUGACAAACAACUUACAUAAUUCAGCAUUCUUGCAUUCUAACAAAUUAAAAUUGCUCAAAUUUCAUUAAAGAACUACACCAAAUCAAAACAUCCAAGCCCUAUCCAACUACUGAACUAAUGGACUACACCCGAACUUAAUCAAUUCCCUGCAUGCACUUUGUCCCUGCAUUGCAUUUGCGCUGGGGCCAAAUUGUGUUCGGAUCAAUUUCUUUCCUUUCCCCAGUCAUAAAUAUAUCACUCUCGUCUUUCCUCUGUUUCUGCACAUUCACUAACACCACAAUACAUAGCAUUCCACCUAUAUAGUUCCUCCCUUUUCCAAAUAACAACUCCAAUAUUAACCGUUCAAUGAAACAUUUUUUCAAUUUUUUGCAUCUCUAGUAACUAUAAAAUUGAUAAUUGUAUAAUGCAUCUACACACCGAACAGAUUACACACACACAUCCCAAAUUUUUUUUUAAAUAGUACGAAAUUACAUGCCUCAUUCAAACCUCAUUAAAUGUUCAAACUUACAGAUUUUGCCAUUUUUCCCAUCUCUGAUGCAUUUAUCACAUAACAAGCCACCAAAUGUAUAUAAUUACACAUCUGCAACAUGCACAGCCUGUCAAUUUUCACUCUCUCAGAUAAAAAAACUCAAACCACUGUAGAUCACUGGACUAUCAACAUAUGUUCCUAUGUUUAACUUCUAUAUACAUCUUUUAAUUACUUCCAAUAUCAUACUAAUUAACAUUAUGGCUUACCAUGUGCUUAUCCCAUUGCUCAAACGCCUUUGAUCAUUUCAAGUCCAACUUUUCUUCGCCACCAUUUUCCCCCUCCCAACCAAAUCUUUUUUACCAGUAAUCCAUGACGCAAUAUCCAAUUUACACUCAAUCAUAAAUCUAUAACCUACAUCACCAGACCAACCAAAUACUUUUCUCAGAUUUCGUCCACAUUUACAAACUUCCCAUAAAAUGACAAUAUCGCUGCAACGCCUACAAACAACCCACUUGUAUAAUACAAACAAAACCUACUUCAGUUAUCCACACUCAUAUGAAAUAACAACAAUCCUUCCACUCACACAAACCCCAAUUUCAUAUUAUUUCGUCAAUCGUCAAAAUAAAACAAAUUACCUCGUCUUCACCCAAAAAUCCUUAUAUCCCCUCUACACUUUACGCAAUCCAUAUUCCACCUUUUCCCAUAACACAAAUCUUCCUUUUUCAUUAUCUUUUGUUUCCUGUACGAUCGAUAACUGGAACCCCUUUAAUCCAAAUAAUAUUAUUUCCUAUUUUUUCACGGAAUUUUAUUCUUUCCCUCACGUCCGUUACUUAACGAUUAUUUUACCUUUUCCUUACCGCCUUCCCUGGUUUCACUGAACACAAAUAUUGGUUAAUUUUAACCGUUAGAUGCACUAACUUUUCAUCCAACGGCUUCUCCGAAUACAGACAAAAACCGUUAUACGGUAUCACGGUUGCACGAUAGGCGACUCCCCCAAAUUAUUUUCGAAAACCAAAAGCAUUUCCAUUGCUAAGGAGGGGAAAAAACACGCAUUUCUUAGACAAACUACUAUAAAAAAUUCUAAUCAAACUCUGACAAUAGAAAAAAAUGUUUAUGUAAAAUGCAUUCAAUAAUGCAUUUAAUAGACAUCUAAAAUGGAUGUGAAUAUGAAUGAGCGAAUUUACGUUGUAAUGCUCGUAAUUUUUUUUUAUUUUAGACAAUGCUAUUUUUUAUUAAUAUAUAAAAACUCGUGGCUUAUCAUAGGAUGUGCUUAUACAACAUUAAUUAUUAUAAUGAAAAAUGUUAUUAAGACUCUUUACAAGUAACACCAAUUGCAGCGUAGAUAGACUUGAGUGAUGAAGCGCUUUAGGCCAUGGCACUUAAGUUUUGAUAGUUGCAAGUUGCUACUAGAUUUAGUAGCAAUAUGGAGCUGUGGAAUUAUCCUUAAUAUCUUGAGGGCAAUGAAAAGACACGGUGAGGAGUUCCAACUUCUACUUAUCUAGAGCUUGGGCAAGGGCUUCUUGCUCACAAACGACAGAUGGAAUCUCUGUAUGCAAGUAAUGGUCCAUUUGCAAAUGAGCAAAAUACUAAGGAAACCAAAAUAUCCAAGCAAGAAAAUCAACAGAAUUUCUUUCUAAUUAGCCAUUCAAAUAUAAUCAGCACCGUGCAGUAAGCUGAAAGCAUACAGAUUUCAAUGAUAGACAAUAUGAUUACAGAGACGAUAUGAUCUCUAUAGCUCUGGGAAAGGAUGUAAUUAGAGAGAAGCAGACAAAUGCCACUACCUCAUGUUGCCAUAUCAUUUCAGAGGACUUCCUCUUUAUUCUUUCGCUCCAAUGUCCAAUGUAGCAGAACUUAUGAAAGAAAAAUACCUAUCAACCUCCUAGUUAUCACUACUUUUGCAUACUAUAAGAGAAGAUUUUGAACAAAACUACAACAAGGAAACAUCAACAUUGCUCCCAUCUUUCUGGUCAAUCAUUGUCUUUGGUGGCAGCCUCUGAAGCUGGAGCUGAAGCUGGAACUGGAGCUGGAGCUGGAGCUGGAGCUGGAGCAGAAGCAAUCAUCAGAGAAUCGAAUUUUUCGGAUUUCCCCAACACUAUUUCAAUCUGCAAGUCAUUACCCAUUAUAAGAAAAGUUAUGAGAAAUUUUUACGUCGUUAAUACGUUUGCUAGCAUAUUGACCAACUGUAUACUCAAACCUACCUUGGCCUUCUGAAUAAAUCGUCCUUUGUUCUCAUCUUUCAUGCCCACGGUAGAUGUUAAGACUUCUGUUUUAUGUAUAUCAAGAAGAGUUAACGAAUUAGCUACCCUUAGAUAAAUUAAAGACAAUGCUGAGCAUUAAGCGGGGAGGAUUCUUACUCUUCUCAGUAGCCAGUCCAUUGUUCUUCAAAAUCUCGGCAAUGGUGACAACAGUAGUAAUUGCUGUAAAAAGACAUUAGAGUGUCAAUUAAUUACUUGGUUUCGAGGUGUAAACUCAUGAACUAAAACUCAAACUGGCAUGAUAAUUUUAUCAAACAUUGGAAGUUUCAACUAUUAAUUAACAAUCACAGGAAUGUUUUACGUCUAAGUUUUCAGCCCAAAGAAUCAUCUCCUGUAUUUCCUUCUUUGGUCCUGACACAAAUCCCCUUUCAAAUCUUUGGAAUUGUACAAGGGCAUGGACCUAGUAUCUAAUGCCUUCAAAACUUUCCAGUUUAUCCUAAAUCCAUAACUGACUGUGACUGAACUUUAAACUAAAUGGUGCAUGUAGAGUCAACUAAGUUGAAUGAAGUGUCAAUCGAUCCCUAAGUCGCAACAUCAUCAAUCACCAUAUUGAGAGACUGAAAGUUUAGACAACAAAAAUAUAAAGAUCACUAUACAUUAGAUAUUUUGGAUUCCUAGCUUCUGCUUGGCUUGUCAACUAGAGGCAUACGUUAAUGAAUCUCUUCACAGGGCAUAACUUCAUCCACAUCGCGGCAACAGCAAACAUAACUCCUAGUUUCAGCAUGUCCAAACAAUAACAAUAAACACCUACAGUUAUAGCCCUUCAAAUUAAUCCCCAUCAGAUCUCCAGUCCACUGUAACUAUUUCAAGUACAAGGUAACUUUAGUAAUGUGCUUUCUUGUUAUACAGGGAACUAAAUUAUGCAAAUAGAAUUCAGAUAUAAAUCUAUUUUGUCGCUGAUGCAGAGAAACUGAACACCUAGAAUGUGAUGUGAACAAUGAAAGAAAGAUGAAUUUGAAGAAACAUACCCAUACCCAAUGCAGAAAGCUCGACCUCAUUGUGCUGCUGUAUGUACCUCUGCAUCAAAAGGACAACACGAGAAAACAUUGCAACAAUCAGGCCAUGUACAAAUGAUAUACGAUUUUCCUAAAACAAAUCAAAGUUUAUGCACAAUGCCUCGUAGAAACAGAUCAAAUGAAAUGAAGCAAUGCAAAUUCCUUUUCUUAACAACAGAAUGAUGGCAGUAAAUCAAAAUCUUUUAUGAUUUUAGGAGAUCUACAAUAUCUCUUAAAGAAGAAGGGAA
This 28766-nucleotide long non-coding RNA is filed under the name Citrus maxima (pomelo). RNAcentral describes it as "long non-coding RNA (CMAX_LNC003418)". The record is from RNAcentral. Lineage: Eukaryota; Viridiplantae; Streptophyta; Magnoliopsida; Sapindales; Rutaceae.